GGUAUACUCUUCUUUAUAUGACUUACAAACUCUAAUGAUGCAUUUCAUUUUUUUAAUUUCAAAUGCAAGCUUGUGUUUGGGAAUAAUAUAGUUGGCAAUUACCUGGAAAAAACUGGGGGAAAGGAUAUUAAAAUCCCUGUCCUUCAGCCGCUAGAUCUUGAGUUGUCUGUUUUCAAAUGGCACUUUGAGCAAUGAAAGGGUAGUAUUGGAAACAGUAUGAGCACGCGUAAGGUAAAGUUGAAUUGGAGGAUACAAUUAAUAAGAUGUGAAUAAUAUGAAGUGUUACAUAGGUCGGUUUGGCACAUCCUAGAGACCUAGACAAAGGCAGUUCUAAGACUUCUAGAACAUGGGUGCAUCAUUAAAGAAAGGAGCAAAAGAAGUAUUAAGUGGGAAUUCAACCCUAUUCCUUUGGGUAGAUAACUCAACAUUUAAUCAAGUCCACCAUUCAAACCUUACUAGAGCAUGGGUACCAACAGAUAAUAUUAAAUCAAUUCUUGGAAAUAUGUACAUAAAAUGCCUAGUUUGGCGGAAAGACCAUAAGUUCAUGUGCCUUUAUCAUGGGGGUAAAUCUGCCCCUGAGCCUAGAAUGGAAUUCCAACAUUAUAUCAUCACUGAAAGUGAGAAAAAAAAACAUUGCUUUGUGUGUUAGUUGUUUAAUUUUUUAUCAUCUGUACACAACUCUCGUUUUAUCCUUCAUAUUUUAAGCUGACAGCAUUUCAUUAGAUCAAGUUAUCAUCCUAGGAGAUGAAACAUUCACAUUAUGUCAUGCGUAGGAACUUGGAUAAAUAGAGUAGCGAUCCAUAUUUUCAUAAUAGCUAUAUUAGCGCGGAUCCAUGCUUGUGCAUUUAGUUGUUUUUCCUUAUGGAUAGGUAUGUCCAACCACUUUUAGAUGCAUCAGUAUAUUCCUUUGGUGAAAAUGGUUUGACUUGGUUGGGUCCACAUUGGUAUGCCUUCCUUUGUUGUGAGAGUGCUGGAACUUUAAAAUUAGUGCGAGUAGUUCACUCAACCUGUAAUGAAGUGUUCAUGAGCUUUUGGGUUUGCAUGCCCAUUAUGAUGUGUCUUGGUUGAUAAUACUCCCUCCGGUUCAAAAUACUUAGCCAUUUGCAUACCCCUAAGAAAAUACUAACUCCUAAAAGAAUAGGUAAUUUGACUAAACUAUCCCUAAUUAAAAUUUCCUAUUUAAUGAUAUCAUAGAAAAUUAGAGUGAUUCGAAAGACUUUCAGGAAUAUGUAAAUAAGGGCAAUUAUGGAAAAAAAGGUUAAUUCUUUCUUGAUUUGGUAAGUGGACGCUUAUUUUGAACCAAC
RNAcentral lists this long non-coding RNA (1304 nucleotides) under Nicotiana benthamiana. Its description in RNAcentral is "long non-coding RNA (NBEN_LNC040050)". The record is from RNAcentral. Lineage: Eukaryota; Viridiplantae; Streptophyta; Magnoliopsida; Solanales; Solanaceae.